RNAcentral lists this long non-coding RNA (334 nucleotides) under Citrus maxima (pomelo). RNAcentral describes it as "long non-coding RNA (CMAX_LNC003869)". Lineage: Eukaryota; Viridiplantae; Streptophyta; Magnoliopsida; Sapindales; Rutaceae. The record is from RNAcentral.
AACAAGUAAAGGCUAUAAAUGGGAUCUUGAAAAAAAAAAUUCUCUUUUAAGAUUGUGAAUUCGAGAAGCUUUGGUUGAGUGAUCUUGUUGAUAAUAAUCUGGCUUUAGUUAUUUAAUUUUCAUUACUUCAUCGUUUACUCCUUGCAGGUUGCAGUAAGAAAAGUUUGAUAAAGGAUUUUUCAAAGCAACUAAGAGAAAUUAGGUUCCAAAAAACAUUAUCCGGGUUUAAAACCCGGAAUCCGGGAACUCGGAUUUUUUCGGGUUUAACCCGUACCGGACCCGCACUCAAAAUAUCCGGGUUUUUAGCCGGGUCCGGUAAGACGAAUUCUCAUCC